GUCCACGCCGUAAACGAUGGGUACUAGGUGUUCUGGGUAUUGACCCCCUGAGUGCCGCAGCUAACGCAUUAAGUACCCCGCCUGGGGACUACGUCCGCAAGGCUAAAACUCAAAGGAAUUGACGGGGGCCCGCACAAGCGGUGGAGCAUGUGGUUUAAUUCGACGCAACGCGAAGAACCUUACCUGGGCUAGACAACAUCGGACAACCCCAGAAAUGGGGCCUCCCCGCAAGGGGCCGUGGUUCAGGUGCUGCAUGGCUGUCGU
RNAcentral lists this ribosomal RNA (264 nucleotides) under uncultured bacterium. RNAcentral's name for it is "partial 16S ribosomal RNA". It matches the Rfam family "Bacterial small subunit ribosomal RNA", at positions 793 to 1055 of the family's 1533-position model. The record is from RNAcentral.